This is a non-coding RNA of Eptesicus fuscus (big brown bat), 633 nucleotides long. The record is from the annotation of a RefSeq genome assembly. NCBI's taxonomy places the organism in Eukaryota, Metazoa, Chordata, Mammalia, Chiroptera, Vespertilionidae.
AUGAGACUGCUGGGUCUUCUCCUGUGCCUGCUGACAGCCCCCCACGGUGUCCUGUCCCAGGUGCAGCUGCAGGAGUCGGGCCCAGGACUGGUGAAGCCCUCGCAGACCCUCUCCCUCACCUGCACUGUCUCUGGUUACUCCAUUACCAGUGGCUGCUGGAACUGGAUUCGCCAACCCCCGGGGAAGGGGCUGGAGUGGAUGGGGCGCAUAUGUAGUAGUGGGGACACUUACUUCAGCCCCUCCCUCAAGAGCCGAACCUCCAUCUCCAGAGACACGUCCAAGAACCAGUUCUCCCUGCAGCUGAGCUCCGUGAACACCGAAGACACGGCCGUGUAUUACUGUUGGAGAGACACAGUGAGGGGAAGUCAGGCCUCUGGAUUCACCUUCAGUAGCUACUGGAUGAGCUGGGUCCGCCAGGCUCCAGGGAAGGGGCUGGAGUGGGUCGCAUACAUUAGUGGUCCUAGUGGUAGUACCAUAUCCUAUGCUGAGUCUGUGAAGGGCCGCUUCACCAUCUCUAGAGACAACGCCAAGAACACGCUGUACCUGCAAAUGAGCAGCCUGAGAACCGAGGACACGGCCGUGUAUUACUGUGCAAGAGACACAACCCCACAGGAGGAGGGGCCUUCGUACUGA